RNAcentral lists this ribosomal RNA (95 nucleotides) under Caerostris darwini. Lineage: Eukaryota; Metazoa; Arthropoda; Arachnida; Araneae; Araneidae. The record is from RNAcentral.
ACGGCCGUACCAUGCUGAAUAUACCGGUUCUCGUUAGAUCACCGAAGUUAAGCAUCAUUGGGCGCGGUCAGUACUACCACCUGGGAAAACUAUAU